UAAUAACUUUUGUUAGAA
This 18-nucleotide transfer RNA is filed under the name Eurycnema goliath. Its description in RNAcentral is "partial tRNA-Leu". The record is from RNAcentral. Lineage: Eukaryota; Metazoa; Arthropoda; Insecta; Phasmatodea; Phasmatidae.